This 301-nucleotide ribosomal RNA is filed under the name uncultured bacterium. Its description in RNAcentral is "partial 16S ribosomal RNA". It matches the Rfam family "Bacterial small subunit ribosomal RNA", at positions 509 to 809 of the family's 1533-position model. The record is from RNAcentral.
CAGUCGCCACGGUAAUACGAAGGGUGCAAGCGUUACUCGGAAUUACUGGGCGUAAAGCGUGCGUAGGUGGUGGUUUAAGUCCGUUGUGAAAGCCCUGGGCUCAACCUGGGAAUUGCAGUGGAUACUGGGUCACUAGAGUGUGGUAGAGGAUAGUGGAAUUUCCGGUGUAGCAGUGAAAUGCGUAGAGAUCGGAAGGAAUACCGGUGGCGAAGGCGGCCCCCUGGACAAAGACUGACGCUCAGGUGCGAAAGCGUGGGGAGCAAACAGGAUUAGAUACCCCGGUAGUCCCUGUCUCUUAUAA